RNAcentral lists this ribosomal RNA (446 nucleotides) under uncultured bacterium. RNAcentral's name for it is "bacterial SSU rRNA". It matches the Rfam family "Bacterial small subunit ribosomal RNA", at positions 335 to 797 of the family's 1533-position model. The record is from RNAcentral.
ACUCCUACGGGAGGCAGCAGGUGGGGAAUAUUGCACAAGUGGGCGCAAGCCUGAUGCAGCAACGCCGCGUGAGCGAUGAAGGCCUUCGGUCGUAAAGCUCUGUCCUCAAGGAAGAAUAAAUGACGGUACUUGAGGAGGAAGCCCGGCUAACUACGUGCCAGCAGCCGCGGUAAUACGUAGGGGGCAAGCGUUAUCCGGAAUCACUGGGGCGUAAAGGGGUGCGUAGGCGGUUUUCAAGUCAGAAGUGAAAGGCUAUGGCUCAACCAUAGUAAGCUUUUGAAACUGUAAACUUGAGUGCAGGAGAGGAAAGUGGAAUUCCUAGUGUAGAGGUGAAAUUCGUAGAUAUUAGGAGGAACACCAGUGGCGAAGGCGACUUUCUGGACUGUAACUGACGGCUGAGGCACGAAAGCGUGGGAGCGAACAGGAUUAGAUACCCUGGUAGCACA